GCAGUCGCCGCGGUAAUACAGAGGGUGCGAGCGUUAAUCGGAUUUACUGGGCGUAAAGCGUGCGUAGGCGGCUUCUUAAGUCGGAUGUGAAAUCCCUGAGCUUAACUUAGGAAUUGCAUUCGAUACUGGGAAGCUAGAGUAUGGGAGAGGAUGGUAGAAUUCCAGGUGUAGCGGUGAAAUGCGUAGAGAUCUGGAGGAAUACCGAUGGCGAAGGCAGCCAUCUGGCCUAAUACUGACGCUGAGGUACGAAAGCAUGGGGAGCAAACAGGAUUAGAUACCCGGGUAGUCCCUGUCUCUUAUAA
This 302-nucleotide ribosomal RNA is filed under the name uncultured bacterium. RNAcentral describes it as "partial 16S ribosomal RNA". It matches the Rfam family "Bacterial small subunit ribosomal RNA", at positions 508 to 809 of the family's 1533-position model. The record is from RNAcentral.